ACAUUGCUGGAUAUUUAUCCCACGGUAAGUUUUUUCCUUUCUUCUUCUUCUUUUUCUUUUAUCCUUUUACUCACUAU
Molecule: non-coding RNA, 77 nt
Filed under: Chloropicon mariensis
Lineage: Eukaryota; Viridiplantae; Chlorophyta; Chloropicophyceae; Chloropicales; Chloropicaceae
Source: RNAcentral